RNAcentral lists this ribosomal RNA (253 nucleotides) under uncultured bacterium. Its description in RNAcentral is "partial 16S ribosomal RNA". It matches the Rfam family "Bacterial small subunit ribosomal RNA", at positions 524 to 776 of the family's 1533-position model. The record is from RNAcentral.
UACGUAGGGAGCAAGCGUUGUUCGGAUUUACUGGGCGUAAAGGGCGCGUAGGCGGCGCGGUAAGUCACUUGUGAAAUCUCUGAGCUUAACUCAGAACGGCCAAGUGAUACUGCUGUGCUAGAGUGCGGAAGAGGCAACCGGAAUUCUUGGUGUAGCGGUGAAAUGCGUAGAUAUCAAGAGGAACACCUGAGGCGAAGGCGGGUUGCUGGGCCGUCACUGACGCUGAUGCGCGAAAGCCCGGGGAGCAAACAGG